This 631-nucleotide long non-coding RNA is filed under the name Elaeis guineensis (African oil palm). RNAcentral's name for it is "long non-coding RNA (EGUI_LNC026758)". Lineage: Eukaryota; Viridiplantae; Streptophyta; Magnoliopsida; Arecales; Arecaceae. The record is from RNAcentral.
UCGACGGCCUCGGCUCCACCCCACCCCCGCCUGUGUGACUCUUGACCACCACCUCUGCAACGAGGGCUACAAGGUAAGGCUCGUCGACUCCAACUCGGCCACCAUCAUGACCGACCAAUGCGGGCGUUAUGACCUGGAACUCGUUGAGCAGGUCAAAGAUCAAUGAUUGGACAUCUGAGCCGCCGCCGCAAAGAUGGCCCGAUGCCAUAACUUCACCGCCAUGAGUAGCACCUCCACUACCAGACCCUGCUUGCCCCUCAUUCCUCCUCGUCCUUGGCUUCGACACCGAUGCCAAGUGCAAGUGGGGCCGACCGCUUGCGCCCUAUCCUCUAAUCUUGCUUCGACCUUUACGUCCUCAACCUUUCUUCAGUGGCUUGGCGGCCCCCGGCUUGGUCUAUCGGAGGCGUAGCAGGUGUGAUGCUUGGUGGCGGCCAUCAAGACAGUAGGGGUUCGGCGGUUUGGGAUCGUCGGGAAUAACUACAGGGGUUUUGGGGCUUACCAAACGGCCACGAUGUUCCCAAAGACGGUGGAGCAAGUAGUGCUCGUCUCCGUCGAGUCUGCCUUGAGGAGUGUGACCUCGCGGCCAGCUUCAUUGUCGUCUCCAACAUCACCAAGGCCAUCAACAUCCUCC